AACGCUGGGUCAGUGCUUAAGAGAAAAAGUCGCAUGCUCAUCAUUCUGUAGCAAUACAGAGUGUUUGCCCAUGGCAAACGGGAGCAUAACACGUGGGCAACCUUCCCUUCGGUGGGGGAUACCCCCGCUAAAGCGGGACUAAUACCGCAUAACACUCCCUGGGUUAGCUCUCAGGGUUUCAAAGCAUCAAUGCGCCGGAAGAGGGGCCCGCGGCCGAUUACCUUGUUGGCGAGGUAACGGCUCACCAAGGCUAAGAUCGGUAGCCGGUCUGAGAGGAUGAUCGGCCACACUGGAACUGAUACACGGUCCAGACUCCUACGGGAGGCAGCAGUGGG
RNAcentral lists this ribosomal RNA (335 nucleotides) under uncultured Acidobacteriota bacterium. Its description in RNAcentral is "bacterial SSU rRNA". The stretch from base 27 to 327 matches the Rfam family "Bacterial small subunit ribosomal RNA", at positions 59 to 350 of the family's 1533-position model. The record is from RNAcentral. Lineage: Bacteria; Pseudomonadati; Acidobacteriota.